GUUAUAGGGUCAAGCGAACAAGUGCAUGCGGUGGAUGCCUUGGCGAUUACAGGCGAUGAAGGACGCGGUAGCCUGCGAAAAGCUUCGGGGAGCUGGCAAACGAGCUUUGAUCCGGAGAUGUCCGAAUGGGGAAACCCGGCCCGAAUGGGUCAUCCGUGACUGAAUACAUAGGUCACGGAAGCGAACGCGGCGAACUGAAACAUCUAAGUAGCUGCAGGAACAGAAAUCAACCGAGAUUCCCAAAGUAGUGGCGAACGAAAUGGGAAGAGCCUUGUACUCUUUAGCAGCAUUGUUAGCAGAACGGGAUGGAAAGCCCGGCCAUAGCAGGUGAUAGCCCUGUAUGCGAAAACAGCGUUGUGGAACUAGGUGUACGACAAGUAGGGCGGGACACGUGAAAUCCUGUCUGAAGAUGGGGGGACCAUCCUCCAAGGCUAAAUACUCGUAAUCGACCGAUAGUGAACCAGUACCGUGAGGGAAAGGCGAAAAGAACCCCGGGAGGGGAGUGAAAUAGAUCCUGAAACCGCAUGCAUACAAACAGUCGGAGCCUGGAAACGGGUGACGGCGUACCUUUUGUAUAAUGGGUCAGCGACUUACAUUCAGUGGCAAGCUUAACCGAUUAGGGAAGGCGUAGCGAAAGCGAGUCCGAACAGGGCGUUGAGUCGCUGGGUGUAGACCCGAAACCAGAUGAUCUAUCCAUGGCCAGGUUGAAGGUGCGGUAACACGUACUGGAGGACCGAACCCACUAACGUUGAAAAGUUAGGGGAUGAGCUGUGGAUAGGGGUGAAAGGCUAAACAAAUCUGGAAAUAGCUGGUUCUCUCCGAAAACUAUUUAGGUAGUGCCUCGUGUCUCACCUUCGGGGGUAGAGCACUGUCAUGGUUGGGGGGUCUAUUGCUGAUUCCCCCGCCAUAGCAAACUCCGAAUACCGAAGAGUGCAAUCACGGGAGACAGACAUCGGGUGCUAACGUCCGGUGUCAAGAGGGAAACAACCCAGACCGCCAGCUAAGGUCCCCAAAUAUAGCUAAGUGGGAAACGAAGUGGGAAGGCUAAAACAGUCAGGAGGUUGGCUUAGAAGCAGCCACCCUUUAAAGAAAGCGUAAUAGCUCACUGAUCGAGUCGUCCUGCGCGGAAGAUGUAACGGGGCUAAGCUAUAUACCGAAGCUGCGGACGCACGCAAGUGCGUGGUAGGAGAGCGUUCUGUAAGCCUGUGAAGGUGUCUUGUAAAGGAUGCUGGAGGUAUCAGAAGUGCGAAUGCUGACAUGAGUAGCGAUAAAGGGGGUGAAAGGCCCCCUCGCCGUAAGCCCAAGGUUUCCUACGCAACGUUCAUCGGCGUAGGGUGAGUCGGCCCCUAAGGCGAGGCAGAGAUGCGUAGCUGAUGGGAAGCAGGUUAAUAUUCCUGCACCGUCGUAUGAUGCGAUGGGGGGACGGAUCGCGGAAGGUUGUCCGGGUGUUGGAAGUCCCGGUCCCUGCAUUGGAGAAGGCGCUUAGGCAAAUCCGGGCGCGGAAUUCAAGGAUGUGGGGCGAGCGGCUUUAAGCUGCGAAGCAAUCGGAAGUGGUUCCAAGAAAAGCCUCUAAGCUUCAGUCAUACGAGACCGUACCGCAAACCGACACAGGUGGGCGAGAUGAGUAUUCUAAGGCGCUUGAGAGAACUCGGGAGAAGGAACUCGGCAAAUUGGUACCGUAACUUCGGGAUAAGGUACGCCCUUGUAGCUUGACUGGCCUGCGCCAGGAGGGUGAAGGGGUUGCAAUAAAAUGGUGGCUGCGACUGUUUAAUAAAAACACAGCACUCUGCAAACACGAAAGUGGACGUAUAGGGUGUGACGCCUGCCCGGUGCCGGAAGAUUAAAUGAUGGGGUGCAAGCUCUUGAUUGAAGUCCCGGUAAACGGCGGCCGUAACUAUAACGGUCCUAAGGUAGCGAAAUUCCUUGUCGGGUAAGUUCCGACCUGCACGAAUGGCGUAACGAUGGCCACACU
RNAcentral lists this ribosomal RNA (1972 nucleotides) under Cupriavidus sp. Its description in RNAcentral is "bacterial LSU rRNA". It matches the Rfam family "Bacterial large subunit ribosomal RNA", at positions 1 to 2017 of the family's 2925-position model. Lineage: Bacteria; Pseudomonadati; Pseudomonadota; Betaproteobacteria; Burkholderiales; Burkholderiaceae. The record is from RNAcentral.